RNAcentral lists this ribosomal RNA (429 nucleotides) under bacterium. RNAcentral describes it as "partial 16S ribosomal RNA". It matches the Rfam family "Bacterial small subunit ribosomal RNA", at positions 355 to 776 of the family's 1533-position model. The record is from RNAcentral.
UAGGGAAUCUUCCACAAUGGACGCAAGUCUGAUGGAGCAACGCCGCGUGAGUGAAGAAGGUUUUCGGAUCGUAAAGCUCUGUUGUUGGUGAAGAAGGAUAGAGGCAGUAACUGGUCUUUAUUUGACGGUAAUCAACCAGAAAGUCACGGCUAACUACGUGCCAGCAGCCGCGGUAAUACGUAGGUGGCAAGCGUUGUCCGGAUUUAUUGGGCGUAAAGCGAGCGCAGGCGGAAUGAUAAGUCUGAUGUGAAAGCCCACGGCUCAACCGUGGAACUGCAUCGGAAACUGUCAUUCUUGAGUGCAGAUGAGGAGAGUGGAAUUCCAUGUGUAGCGGUGGAAUGCGUAGAUAUAUGGAAGAACACCAGUGGCGAAGGCGGCUCUCUGGUCUGCAACUGACGCUGAGGCUCGAAAGCAUGGGUAGCGAACAGG